RNAcentral lists this non-coding RNA (197 nucleotides) under Clostridium puniceum. RNAcentral describes it as "GlcN6P sequence". It matches the Rfam family "glmS glucosamine-6-phosphate activated ribozyme aptamer". From Rfam's summary of the family: This entry contains a glucosamine-6-phosphate activated ribozyme that is found in the mRNA for GlmS. GlmS is an enzyme that uses fructose-6-phosphate and glutamine to generate glucosamine-6-phosphate. The record is from Rfam by way of RNAcentral. Lineage: Bacteria; Bacillati; Bacillota; Clostridia; Eubacteriales; Clostridiaceae.
AGUAAGUUCGAAUACCCAAAUCAUAGAUUUGGAUUCUCACUUAAGUUGACGAGGUUGGGGAGUUAUCGAAACUUCGGCGGGUGCCCCACGGUAAGGUUAUUUGAAAUAUUAUUUUGUUUCAGAGACCGCAGCACUACCGUUAACAACUGGCAAAACUUUAAAGUAAUUUAAAGUACAAAUCCAGUUUGGUGUUAAAA